AGAGUUUGAUCCUGGCUCAGGACGAACGCUGGCGGCACGCUUAACACAUGCAAGUCGAACGAGAGAAGAGGAGCUUGCUUUUCUGAUCUAGUGGCGGACGGGUGAGUAACACGUGAGCAAUCUGCCUUUCAGAGGGGGAUACCGAUUGGAAACGAUCGUUAAUACCGCAUAACAUAAUUGAACCGCAUGAUUUGAUUAUCAAAGAUUUAUCGCUGAAAGAUGAGCUCGCGUCUGAUUAGCUAGUUGGUAAGGUAACGGCAUACCAAGGCGACGAUCAGUAGCCGGACUGAGAGGUUGAUCGGCCACAUUGGGACUGAGACACGGCCCAGACUCCUACGGGAGGCAGCAGUGGGGAAUAUUGCACAAUGGAGGAAACUCUGAUGCAGCGAUGCCGCGUGAGGGAAGAAGGUUUUAGGAUUGUAAACCUCUGUCUUCAGGGACGAAAAAAGACGGUACCUGAGGAGGAAGCUCCGGCUAACUACGUGCCAGCAGCCGCGGUAAUACGUAGGGAGCGAGCGUUGUCCGGAAUUACUGGGUGUAAAGGGAGCGUAGGCGGGAUCGCAAGUCAGAUGUGAAAACUAUGGGCUUAACCCAUAAACUGCAUUUGAAACUGUGGUUCUUGAGUGAAGUAGAGGUAAGCGGAAUUCCUAGUGUAGCGGUGAAAUGCGUAGAUAUUAGGAGUAACAUCAGUGGCGAAGGCGGCUUACUGGGCUUUAACUGACGCUGAGGCUCGAAAGCGUGGGGAGCAAACAGGAUUAGAUACCCUGGUAGUCCACGCCGUAAACGAUGAUUACUAGGUGUGGGGGGACUGACCCCUUCCGUGCCGCAGCAAACGCAAUAAGUAAUCCACCUGGGGAGUACGACCGCAAGGUUGAAACUCAAAGGAAUUGACGGGGGCCCGCACAAGCAGUGGAGUAUGUGGAUUAAUUCGAAGCAACGCGAAGAACCUUACCAGGUCUUGACAUCGUAUGCAUAGCUCAGAGAUGAGUGAAAUCUCUUCGGAGACAUAUAGACAGGUGGUGCAUGGUUGUCGUCAGCUCGUGUCGUGAGAUGUUGGGUUAAGUCCCGCAACGAGCGCAACCCUUACUGUUAGUUGCUACGCAAGAGCACUCUAGCAGGACUGCCGUUGACAAAACGGAGGAAGGUGGGGAUGACGUCAAAUCAUCAUGCCCCUUAUGACCUGGGCCUCACACGUACUACAAUGGCUGUCAACAGAGGGAAGCAAAGCCGCGAGGUGGAGCGAACCCCUAAAAGCAGUCUUAGUUCGGAUUGUAGGCUGCAACCCGCCUACAUGAAGUCGGAAUUGCUAGUAAUCGCAGAUCAGCAUGCUGCGGUGAAUACGUUCCCGGGCCUUGUACACACCGCCCGUCACGCCAUGGGAGUCGGUAACACCCGAAGCCUGUAGUCUAACCGCAAGGAGGACGCAGUCGAAGGUGGGAUUGAUGACUGGGGUGAAGUCGGAACAAGGUA
This 1470-nucleotide ribosomal RNA is filed under the name metagenome. Its description in RNAcentral is "bacterial SSU rRNA". It matches the Rfam family "Bacterial small subunit ribosomal RNA". The record is from RNAcentral.